Molecule: long non-coding RNA, 1245 nt
Filed under: Apteryx haastii (Great spotted kiwi)
Lineage: Eukaryota; Metazoa; Chordata; Aves; Apterygiformes; Apterygidae
Description: lncRNA (ENSAHAG00000006887.1)
Source: RNAcentral
AUGGGAAGGGACGGGAAGGGACGGGAAGGGAAGGGCAGGGGUAAUGCGGAGGAGCUGUGCUGUCGGCGGGCGCCUGUCCAGCGGGGGCACCGGGAAGGGGCUCUCGAAGCCCCUUGUUCGGGGCACGGGGGAUUUACACGUCUCCCUUCCUGCUGCCGCGAGGUCYGUCGCGGCUGGGUGAAGCCUGCUCCCGGGGUCCUUCCCGUGCCGCCUCUGCCAGCUGCGUCGCUGGCUGGGGAAGGCAUUGCCUCGCUCCCUAYGGCUUGGGCAUCUUUUCACCCUUCCCACGCAGGGAGAAACGUGUGCUCCACGCGCAAGCUUUGCCAGCAGCAGCUCUGCCCUCUCCGUCCCCCCGAGGCUCCUGGCAAUUCCUGCCAGGGGGAUCUCCUCCGGGGAGCAGCCCCGAGCGCAGGGACACCAGUGCCGGCUCGGUGCCGGGAGCGAUUUCCCGGGAAGGGGAGCUGGCCCGCGCCGCCGCGGGGGAGAGCGGCCAGGAGGGCGUGCGGGGCAGCCUGUGCACUCGGGCUGAGCUGCAGCACCUCACCGCCGUGGCUCGCCCUGCGCCGCUGCAUCACCCGGCAUUGCUGUGUUGCCCUGCGCCGCUGCAUCGCCCUGCGCCGCUGCAUCACCCUGCACUGCUGCAUCGCCCUGUGCUGCUGCAUCGCCCUGCACCGCUGCAUCGCCCUGUGCCGCUGCAUCCCCCUGCGUUGCUGCAUCACCCUGCACUGCUGCAUUGCCCUGUGUUGCUGCAUCGCCCUGUGCCGCUGCAUCGCCCUGUGCUGCUGCAUCGCCCUGUGCCGCUGCAUUGCCCUGUGUCACUGCCUCGCCCUGCGUUGCUGCAUCACCCUGCGUUGCUGCAUCACCCUGCGCCGGUGCAUCACCCUGUGUUGCUGCCUCACUCUGUGCCGCCGCAUCGCCCUGCACUGCUGCAUUGCCCUGCACCGCUGCAUCACCCUGCAUUGCUGCAUCGCCCCGCACGCACCCACUGCACAGGCCCGGGCACCGAAUGGGCGAGGGAAACCAGCAACGAGAGCUUCACAGAAGGGGAAAGUUAAGAAGAAAGCAAAACAUAAAGCCUCGAGGAAAGACAGACAAACAAAUGCACACAGACAGGAAAGACACAGCCGGGCACCCCACAAGCAGUCCUGCCCGUUAUCAGCCCAACCCACGGACACGGCAGUGCAGGAGUCACGAUUCCUCGAGAAAAGUACCCAGACAUACUUUGCAAAGGUAUGCGGAUACUGA